Long non-coding RNA from Marmota flaviventris (yellow-bellied marmot), 662 nucleotides. RefSeq lists it as uncharacterized. The record is from RefSeq and is a predicted model, not a curated record. Lineage: Eukaryota; Metazoa; Chordata; Mammalia; Rodentia; Sciuridae.
CCAGGCUUGGUCCACAGGAAGCAUGAGCCCUUCACAGGCCCCUUGAAAGCCUCAGGGACCUCCAUGCAGGAAGGUGCAGUUCUUCUGUGACAAGCAAUGAGUUUGGGUAGCAUUUGAGAUGGAUGCUGAACACCAUGCCAAGACUUUAAAGAGUUGGGAGGACUUUCCAGGUGGAAGGACCAAAGUAAACAAAAAUGGAAAAGUACUCUCCUGUAGAGGAACAGCUGAACCUGGAAGAUGGGGAGAAAGCGGAAAGAAGAAACUGUCCAGAAGGAUGCAUGGUAGAAGCACCUGCCUCUUGGAAUAGAUUCCCUCUCCAGAGAUACAGCCCCAAGGUCGAGGGUUUCACCUUUUAAUGGGAGCAGUGACUUUGAUCACAUCCUGCCAUCUGAAAAAGAAUGAUGCCUUGGUUUUGGGAUUUCAUGACCCUCCUACAAGUUGCAACAAAUUGAGCUGAAGGGUCAGAGCAGCCAUAAGUUUCCGGGAAUCUGGCUCCUUCUGGCUCAUCCUCCUUGUCCUGAGAAAGCAAAGCAUUGGGUAGGUUAUCUCCUCCAGGCUCCAAGCAAGUACCAGGUACCCCAUGGGGCAUUUUACCAACCUCACAACUCCCUUAUAAAAUUGUAGCUGCCCUGGUAUCAUUUUGGAGUACUUAUGAUAUAUGU